GUCGAACGAGAUUAGAGACUUCNGGUUUCUAUGAAAGUGGCGCACGGGUGCGUAACACGUAUGCAACCUACCUUCAAUUGGGGGAUAGCCUUCCGAAAGGGAGAUUAAUACCGCAUAAGAUAUCAGAAUGGCAUCAUUUAGAUAUUAAAACUUUGGUGAUUGAAGAUGGGCAUGCGUUGCAUUAGCUAGUUGGUAAGGUAACGGCUUACCAAGGCUACGAUGCAUAGGGGAUCUGAGAGGAUGGUCCCCCACACUGGUACUGAGAUACGGACCAGACUCCUACGGGAGGCAGCAGUAAGGAAUAUUGGUCAAUGGACGGAAGUCUGAACCAGCCAUGCCGCGUGCAGGAAGACGGCCCUAUGGGUUGUAAACUGCUUUUGUCGGGGAAUAAACCUAGAUACGUGUAUUUAGUUGAAGGUACCCGAAGAAUAAGGAUCGGCUAACUCCGUGCCAGCAGCCGCGGUAAUACGGAGGAUCCAAGCGUUAUCCGGAUUUAUUGGGUUUAAAGGGUGCGUAGGCGGUAAAUUAAGUCAGAGGUGAAAGCCUGCAGCUCAACUGUAGAACUGCCUUUGAUACUGGUUUACUUGAGUACAGAUGAAGUGGGCGGAAUGUGACAAGUAGCGGUGAAAUGCAUAGAUAUGUCACAGAACACCGAUUGCGAAGGCAGCUCACUAAAGUGUAACUGACGCUGAGGCACGAAAGCGUGGGGAUCAAACAGGAUUAGA
This 725-nucleotide ribosomal RNA is filed under the name Solitalea canadensis. Its description in RNAcentral is "bacterial SSU rRNA". It matches the Rfam family "Bacterial small subunit ribosomal RNA", at positions 61 to 782 of the family's 1533-position model. The record is from RNAcentral. Lineage: Bacteria; Pseudomonadati; Bacteroidota; Sphingobacteriia; Sphingobacteriales; Sphingobacteriaceae.